UACAGAGGUCCCGAGCGUUGUUCGGAUUCACUGGGCGUAAAGGGUGCGUAGGUGGCGGGGUAAGUUUGAUGUGAAAGCUCAGGGCUUAACCCUGAAAUGGCAUUGAAUACUACUCUGCUGGAGGUUUGGAGGGGGGACUGGAAUUCUUGGUGUAGCAGUGAAAUGCGUAGAUAUCAAGAGGAACACCAGUGGCGAAGGCGAGUCCCUGGACAACACCUGACACUGAGGCACGAAAGCUAGGGGAGCAAACAGG
This 253-nucleotide ribosomal RNA is filed under the name uncultured bacterium. Its description in RNAcentral is "partial 16S ribosomal RNA". It matches the Rfam family "Bacterial small subunit ribosomal RNA", at positions 524 to 776 of the family's 1533-position model. The record is from RNAcentral.